This 426-nucleotide ribosomal RNA is filed under the name uncultured bacterium. RNAcentral's name for it is "bacterial SSU rRNA". It matches the Rfam family "Bacterial small subunit ribosomal RNA", at positions 354 to 796 of the family's 1533-position model. The record is from RNAcentral.
GUGAGGAAUUUUCCGCAAUGGACGCAAGUCUGACGGAGCAACGCCGCGUGCAGGAAGACGCUCUUCGGAGUGUAAACUGCUUUUCUGAGGGACGAGAACGGACGGUACCUCAGGAAGAAGCCCCGGCUAACUACGUGCCAGCAGCCGCGGUAAUACGUAGGGGGCGAGCGUUGUCCGGAGUUACUGGGCGUAAAGGGCAUGCAGGCGGUCCUGUGCGUUUCGCGUGACAGCGGGUGGCUUACCUGCCCGAGGAUGCGAAAGACGAUAGGACUUGAGGGCCAGAGAGGGACACGGAAUUCCGGGUGGAGUGGUGAAAUGCGUAGAGAUCCGGAGGAACACCGAAGGCGAAGGCAGUGUCCUGGCUGGCAACUGACGCUGAGAUGCGAAAGCUAGGGGAGCGAACGGGAUUAGAAACCCCUGUAGUCC